RNAcentral lists this long non-coding RNA (548 nucleotides) under Rhinopithecus bieti (black snub-nosed monkey). Its description in RNAcentral is "lncRNA (ENSRBIG00000046717.1)". The record is from RNAcentral. Lineage: Eukaryota; Metazoa; Chordata; Mammalia; Primates; Cercopithecidae.
UCGAAGUAAAUGAUUUUCUGAAGGUCGGUCUCCCAGAAAGCAUUUGCUCUGGUUUUUUGUUUUGUUUUAUUUUCGUGUUUUCCCAGUUAGGGAAGGGAGAGGAGCCUGUGCAGAGUUGAACUGGGGUGGAGAGGUGCGUUGUAAAGUAUGGUUUCCAGAGACGGUGAGACCUCGUCGCUAAGCGUUGUUUCCUCUGCAUGUAACUUACAAGGAUGUCUGCGUGGAUAUCCCUGGACACUCGAUACCCCCCGGGGACCUGCUCUUCCCGCAGCUCCGCAGACGCGGCAGGAGGGCGCGCUGGCCCCGGCGCUGCUGGGACAGAGUUUAAAUCUCGGAAAACCAAAAACACCCUUUAGAAACGUCAGGUGGUGGCGGCGGAAACUCAAAGGUCGCCCCCCACCCCCAGCGCGGGCUCCCCGCCGCCGGCCACUUCGGGGGAAGGACCGCGCAGAGGCAGCGUCGGGGUCCCCGGGCGGUCGGAAUCGAGGCCCCGCGCGUUGCGCAGGCCAGGCCCGGCUCGGAGGCCCCUCGCCCGGCGCAGCCCCCGG